GACGAACGCUGGCGGCGUGCUUAACACAUGCAAGUCGAACGGAAAGGCCCUGCUUUUGUGGGGUGCUCGAGUGGCGAACGGGUGAGUAACACGUGAGUAACCUGCCCUUGACUUUGGGAUAACUUCAGGAAACUGGGGCUAAUACCGGAUAGGAGCUCCUGCUGCAUGGUGGGGGUUGGAAAGUUUCGGCGGUUGGGGAUGGACUCGCGGGUUAUCAGCUUGUUGGUGGGGUAGUGGCUUACCAAGGCUUUGACGGGUAGCCGGCCUGAGAGGGUGACCGGCCACAAUGGGACUGAGAUACGGCGCAGACGCCUACGGGAGGCAGCAGGGGGGAAUAUUGCACAAUGGGCGGAAGCCUGAUGCAGCAACGCCGCGUGCGGGAUGACGGCCUUCGGGUUGUAAACCGCUUUCGCCUGUGACGAAGCGUGAGUGACGGUAAUGGGUAAAGAAGCACCGGCUAACUACGUG
This 468-nucleotide ribosomal RNA is filed under the name uncultured bacterium. RNAcentral describes it as "partial 16S ribosomal RNA". It matches the Rfam family "Bacterial small subunit ribosomal RNA", at positions 28 to 507 of the family's 1533-position model. The record is from RNAcentral.